UAUGAAGAACGUAGCGAAAUGCGAUAAGUAGUGUGAAUUGCAGAAUUCAGUGAAUCAUCGAAUCUUUGAACGCACAUUGCGCCCCUUGGUAUCCCGAGGGGCAUGCCUGUUCGAGCGUCAUUUCACCACUCAAGCCUGGCUUGGUGUUGGGCGACGUCCCCUUUGGGGACGCGCCUCGAAACGCUCGGCGGCGUGGCACCGGCUUUAAGCGUAGCAGAAUCUUUCGCUUUGGAAGUCGGGGCCCCGUCUGCCGGAAGACCUACUCGCAAGGUUGACCUCGGAUCAGGCAGGGAUACCCGCUGAACUUAAGCAUAUCAAUAAGCGGAGGA
This 329-nucleotide unclassified non-coding RNA is filed under the name soil metagenome. RNAcentral describes it as "partial contains 5.8S ribosomal RNA, internal transcribed spacer 2, and large subunit ribosomal RNA". The stretch from base 2 to 120 matches the Rfam family "5.8S ribosomal RNA", at positions 36 to 154 of the family's 154-position model. The record is from RNAcentral.